GGCCACCCUGGAGGAGCUGCAGAGCGUCCACAGCGAGCGCCACGUCCUCCUCUACGGCACCAACCCCCUCAGCCGCCUCAAGCUGGACAAUGGCAAGCUGGCAGGGAUCCUGUCGCAGAGGACGUUCGUGAUGCUGCCCUGCGGAGGGGUGGGGGUGGACAGUGACACCAUCUGGAACGAGCUGCACUCGUCCAACGCUGCCCGCUGGGCCG
Non-coding RNA from Lonchura striata (white-rumped munia), 212 nucleotides. Lineage: Eukaryota; Metazoa; Chordata; Aves; Passeriformes; Estrildidae. The record is from RefSeq and is a predicted model, not a curated record.